This 225-nucleotide unclassified non-coding RNA is filed under the name Hevea brasiliensis (rubber tree). Lineage: Eukaryota; Viridiplantae; Streptophyta; Magnoliopsida; Malpighiales; Euphorbiaceae. The record is from RNAcentral.
GAAAAAUAUAUAUUUUUAUGUAAUGUUACAUAAAAUAUAUAAAUAGAGAAAAUUUUGGUCAAUCAUUUUAGUUUUAAAAAUAAAAAAGAAACCGAAUCAAAUAAAUGAAAAUUUCAAAAUGAAAAUCAAACCAAAUUAGUUCAUUUUUCGAUUCAUUGAAAUCUUGUGAACCCUAAACUCUAUCCCAUUUCAUAGAUCAUAUUCAUACACUUACAGUGUAAAGAG